CGAACGGGUGAGUAACACGUGGGCAACCUGCCCAAAAGAGGGGGAUAACACUUGGAAACAGGUGCUAAUACCGCAUAACCAUAGUUACCGCAUGGUAACUAUGUAAAAGGUGGCUAUGCUACCGCUUUUGGAUGGGCCCGCGGCGCAUUAGCUAGUUGGUGGGGUAAAGGCUUACCAAGGCAAUGAUGCGUAGCCGAAUGAGAGGUUGAUCGGCCACAUUGGGACUGAGACACGGCCCAAACUCCUACGGGAGGCAGCAG
This 260-nucleotide ribosomal RNA is filed under the name uncultured bacterium. RNAcentral describes it as "partial 16S ribosomal RNA". It matches the Rfam family "Bacterial small subunit ribosomal RNA", at positions 99 to 354 of the family's 1533-position model. The record is from RNAcentral.